This 102-nucleotide Y RNA is filed under the name Prolemur simus (greater bamboo lemur). Its description in RNAcentral is "Y RNA (ENSPSMG00000023190.1)". It matches the Rfam family "Y RNA". From Rfam's summary of the family: Y RNAs are components of the Ro ribonucleoprotein particle (Ro RNP), in association with Ro60 and La proteins. The Y RNAs and Ro60 and La proteins are well conserved, but the function of the Ro RNP is not known. Lineage: Eukaryota; Metazoa; Chordata; Mammalia; Primates; Lemuridae. The record is from Rfam by way of RNAcentral.
GGUUGGUCCGAGUGCAGUGGUGUUUACAACUAAUUGAUCACAACCAGUUACAGGUUCCUUUGUUCCUUCUCCACUCCCACUGCUUCACUUGACCAGCCUUUA